Long non-coding RNA from Sphaerodactylus townsendi, 128 nucleotides. RefSeq lists it as uncharacterized. NCBI's taxonomy places the organism in Eukaryota, Metazoa, Chordata, Lepidosauria, Squamata, Sphaerodactylidae. The transcript is spliced from 5 exons. The record is from RefSeq and is a predicted model, not a curated record.
AUCGCAUCAUCCGUUAUCAGGAAGUGCUAGUCAUCAAGAUCUUAGAAAAGACUCAUCGCAUCAUCCAUUAUCAGGAAGUGCUAGUCAUCAAGAUCUUAGAAAAGAAUCAUCUCAUCAUUCAUUGUCAG